GCCCGUUUAGCAUAGUCGUUAUUGCGCGGCACUUGUAUCACGUGCGAUGCCGAGGUCGCUAGUUCAAAUCUGGCAACGGGCA
Molecule: transfer RNA, 82 nt
Filed under: Puccinia coronata f. sp. avenae
Lineage: Eukaryota; Fungi; Basidiomycota; Pucciniomycetes; Pucciniales; Pucciniaceae
Rfam family: tRNA
About the family: Transfer RNA (tRNA) molecules are approximately 80 nucleotides in length. Their secondary structure includes four short double-helical elements and three loops (D, anti-codon, and T loops). Further hydrogen bonds mediate the characteristic L-shaped molecular structure. tRNAs have two regions of fundamental functional importance: the anti-codon, which is responsible for specific mRNA codon recognition, and the 3' end, to which the tRNAs corresponding amino acid is attached (by aminoacyl-tRNA synthetases). tRNAs cope with the degeneracy of the genetic code in two manners: having more than one tRNA (with a specific anti-codon) for a particular amino acid; and 'wobble' base-pairing, i.e. permitting non-standard base-pairing at the 3rd anti-codon position.
Source: Rfam by way of RNAcentral